Molecule: non-coding RNA, 20 nt
Filed under: Arabidopsis thaliana (thale cress)
Lineage: Eukaryota; Viridiplantae; Streptophyta; Magnoliopsida; Brassicales; Brassicaceae
Source: RNAcentral
AAACGUCCUGAUUGGUAUGU